This 415-nucleotide RNase P RNA is filed under the name Caldithrix sp. RBG_13_44_9. RNAcentral describes it as "RNase P RNA component class A". It matches the Rfam family "Bacterial RNase P class A". From Rfam's summary of the family: Ribonuclease P (RNase P) is a ubiquitous endoribonuclease, found in archaea, bacteria and eukarya as well as chloroplasts and mitochondria. Its best characterised activity is the generation of mature 5'-ends of tRNAs by cleaving the 5'-leader elements of precursor-tRNAs. The record is from RNAcentral. Lineage: Bacteria; Pseudomonadati; Calditrichota; Calditrichia; Calditrichales; Calditrichaceae.
GAAGCAGAUCAGACGGUCGCCUGUUCUGAGGAACGGGAGGAAAGUCCGAACUCCAGCGGGCAAGGUACCUGAAGAAAUUCAGGGUUGGUAGAAUGUAAAUUCUAUCAGACGGAAAGUGUCACAGAAACUAUACCGCCGGAGAGCUGUUUACAGCCAUCCGGUAAGGGUGAAAUGGCGGGGUAAGAGCCCACCGCUCAGAUUCUGAACAGAAUGGUUUAAUUUAAGCCGUGGUAACACCUGAGCCGGAUAAACCCUUCCUGGAGCAAGGCCAAAUAAGGGAGAAUUCUUCAGCGAAGAGCGAGACUGCCCCGCUCGUGUCCAAUUAAAGGACAAACUCCUGGGUAGGCCGCAUCAGAUAAAUGACCGUUACCCCUGAAUGGGGGAACAGAAUUCGGCUUAUCGAUCUGCUUCCGUU